Molecule: ribosomal RNA, 474 nt
Filed under: uncultured bacterium
Lineage: Bacteria
Description: partial 16S ribosomal RNA
Rfam family: Bacterial small subunit ribosomal RNA (bases 20-302)
Source: RNAcentral
AACGAACGCUGGCGGCAGGCUUAACACAUGCAAGUCGAGCGAGACCUUCGGGUCUAGCGGCGGACGGGUGAGUAACGCGUGGGAACGUGCCCUUCUCUACGGAAUAGCCCCGGGAAACUGGGAGUAAUACCGUAUACGCCCUUUGGGGGAAAGAUUUAUCGGAGAAGGAUCGGCCCGCGUUGGAUUAGGUAGUUGGUGGGGUAAUGGCCCACCAAGCCGACGAUCCAUAGCUGGUUUGAGAGGAUGAUCAGCCACACUGGGACUGAGACACGGCCCAGACGCAGAGGGGGGGCGGGGGUGGGGAAUCUGAGAGACGGGGGGCCAGCCGGAGGGGGUCAGGCGUGGUGGGGAAGGAAGGGGUGUGGGUUGUAAAGUGCUUUGAGGGGGGAAGAGGACGAGGGUAGGAGAACAGGGGGCCCCGGCUAAGUAGGGUGCGGGAGCUGCGGUGAUAAGUGAGAAGAGCCGAAGCAGAGU